GGUUCCGUAGCUCAACUGAAUAGAGCAUCACACUACGGAUGUGAAGGUUCAGGGUUUGAAUCCCUGCGGGAUCA
Molecule: transfer RNA, 74 nt
Filed under: Paludibacteraceae bacterium
Lineage: Bacteria; Pseudomonadati; Bacteroidota; Bacteroidia; Bacteroidales; Paludibacteraceae
Description: tRNA-Arg
Rfam family: tRNA
About the family: Transfer RNA (tRNA) molecules are approximately 80 nucleotides in length.
Source: RNAcentral